Molecule: long non-coding RNA, 886 nt
Organism: Cynoglossus semilaevis (tongue sole)
Lineage: Eukaryota; Metazoa; Chordata; Actinopteri; Pleuronectiformes; Cynoglossidae
Exons: 4
Source: RefSeq, a predicted model, not a curated record
CAUUAAAGUGUGUUUGAGCUGUUCCUUAUAUUACAGCUUGUGAUCUUUCUACAGACUGAGCGACGUUACGUUCACAUAAUAAAGUGGCCAACACACGACAACAACACAUUGGUGUAACAUCGUUUAGCUUUUAUUAACGGCAGAGAGCAAUAAACGGAGAAGUCUACCUGGCCCCCGAGGUCUUAUCAUCAACUACGGUGGCCGUUAUGGACCAUAAAGGGCGUUUGUGAGGGAAGAGAUCAUCUGCAGAAAGAAGGUGAAAUAAAGUUCACACUGGGCGACAAGUGCAGAGGAAAAGGAAGCAGAGGAGAAAAAAAAAGCUUCAGACUAAUGUCAUGUCACAUCAGCAGGACUGUACGUUCAAUGGUGAAUCAACAUUCAACAGCAUAUUCUCUACAUAUAUGCAGUGUGCAGGAUAUUCUAUUUGUUGUGUUUAUAUGUGCCCUGGGGGCAGAGGGGAGAGAACGGAGCAGAAGGAACAACAGCGUCAGUGUGUGUCUGUCUGACGACGAGGCGAACACUCACCUAGUCUACGUCUGGGGUUAUUUUCAUUCUGCAGAGGAGGAAGACACAGAACCUGUAGGUGGACAGAUGUGUGUAGGAGGAGGUUGGCAGAGUUCUGACUAGAGAAUGCACUCAGGAGACACACAGAGAGAAAUAUUUCCAUGUGAAAACUUCCAGCUACAGUGAAACAGCAAAGAUGAAUUGAAAGAUUGCAUGCAUCAAAAUUCACUUAAAAUCUAACAGAGUAAGACAGAUACUUCACAGACCACAGAUCUGUAUGUUUACUGCUUUAAUACUGAUACAAUUAACAUGACAGAGGAUUCAGAACAACGUAAACGUCCACCUCUCUCUUCUUUAGCGAACAUGUAAACAAACGAAAUUU